RNAcentral lists this ribosomal RNA (406 nucleotides) under uncultured bacterium. Its description in RNAcentral is "partial 16S ribosomal RNA". It matches the Rfam family "Bacterial small subunit ribosomal RNA", at positions 30 to 526 of the family's 1533-position model. The record is from RNAcentral.
AUUGAACGCUGGCGGCAGGCCUAACACAUGCAAGUCGAACGAGUGGCGGACGGGUGAGUAAUGUCUGGGAAACCGUCUGAUGGAGGGGGAUAACUACUGGAUACGGUAGCUAAUACCGCAUACCAUCAGAUGUGCCCAGAUGGGAUUAGUUUGUUGGUGGGGUAACGGCUCACCAGGGCGACGAUCCCUAGCUGGUCUGAGAGGAUGGCCAGCCACACUGGAACUGAGAAACGGUCCAGACUCCUACGGGAGGCAGCAGUGGGGAAUAUUGCACAAUGGACGCAAGCCUGAUGCAGCCAUGCCGCGUGUAUGAAGAAGGCCUUCGGGUUGUAAAGUACUUUCAGCGGGGAGGCGUUACCCGCAGAGGAAGCACCGGCUAACUCCGUGCCAGCAGCCGCGGUAAUUC